GAGCCGAGGGCUCCCCGGGUUCAAAGGGCCGCAGCCCCGAGGGAAUGCCCUCCUCGCUGUGCCCCGAGGGGCAGAAGCGGACCGCAGGGCGGUGGGACCGGCCCGGGCCACGAUGGUGUUCAGUGACAAGACCCAAACUAUUUGCAAAACUCCAGGACAUGCGUCUUUCUGCGGACAAAAACAGACAUUAUCAAAAGCCUGGAAGGAAUCUUUGACUCUCUCCCAUUUGAACAAACAACAGCUUCAAAGUUGUCGACAGUGUACUAAGCAAAGAUACGAGAAUAUCCCCAGAAAGGAAAAUACGCCACGACGAAGUUGUUUCCUGUAUGUGAAUGCUGAGAUUUAAGGAAAUAUCGUGGCUCCCCUUUAACUCACAAAUAAAUUCUUUUUUUUUUUUUGAACAAUUGCUCCCUUUGAGAUUUGCAAAUAGUUCCACUAGUUUACAUAGGUCUUUUUUCCUCCUUCCUUUUAAGUAUACCUCUUAAGUAAGCAGACACUUUAACUUGCCUUCUUAUUAGACAGCUUUUUCUUUAUUGCCUUUUCAUAGCACAGCUAUCAAAAAUAAGAUAAUACGCAAGAUCUGGGACCUAAUCAGCUUUCUAGCUGAGUUUAAAGAGUCUAGAGGCUGUUUAAAGGUAGCUCUGGUUAUGUGUGCGGGCUUUACUGCCUUGUUUGCUCGACCACAUUUUGAUGGAGAGGGUAAUGUGUUUGCUAGAUAAGGCAAAAGGGACCAGCCAAAAAAGCAAGGCUCUGUUUGAUAAACCCUGACAUAUUUAGCCAUUUUUCUCCCACAUGAAACGAAGCUUUAAAACUCUAAGAAAAAUAGAGGUGUUCGUUCAAGCACGCUAAUGUUGAUCAAGACAAAAAAAAAAAAAAA
Long non-coding RNA from Lynx canadensis (Canada lynx), 877 nucleotides. RefSeq lists it as uncharacterized. Lineage: Eukaryota; Metazoa; Chordata; Mammalia; Carnivora; Felidae. The record is from RefSeq and is a predicted model, not a curated record. The transcript is spliced from 3 exons.